Molecule: long non-coding RNA, 338 nt
Organism: Taeniopygia guttata (zebra finch)
Lineage: Eukaryota; Metazoa; Chordata; Aves; Passeriformes; Estrildidae
Source: RefSeq, a predicted model, not a curated record
CACGGCCCGGCACCGCCGCGGGCACCGCGCACACAACGGAGAGACACCGCGGCUACCCCGGGAUGGGCUCUGCGUGAGAAGUGAAGAUAGAAAAAUCAACAGACGGGAAAUAAUGAGGAAAUGGAGGGUAACCAAGAAAAAGAAGGCGGUAAUAAAUACAGGUAUGUGACAAAACUCCUAUGAACAGACAGCAAGGGCAGGGCUUGGCAUAAACUGCAAGUUUGAUAGAACAGCAGAAUUAGACCCAACAUGAGAAGCCCCAUAUGCAAGUAAAAUUCAGUGGAAUUUCAGUCAACACCAUGAGUAAACAUAGCAAUUACAGUACUAAAAAAUGGCAA